RNAcentral lists this ribosomal RNA (429 nucleotides) under Acidobacteriota bacterium. RNAcentral's name for it is "Acidobacteria bacterium partial 16S ribosomal RNA". It matches the Rfam family "Bacterial small subunit ribosomal RNA", at positions 355 to 776 of the family's 1533-position model. RNAcentral also lists the same sequence under 1 other name. Lineage: Bacteria; Pseudomonadati; Acidobacteriota. The record is from RNAcentral.
UGGGGAAUUUUGGACAAUGGGCGCAAGCCUGAUCCAGCAAUGCCGCGUGCAGGAUGAAGGCCUUCGGGUUGUAAACUGCUUUUGUACGGAGCGAAAAGGCUUCCACUAAUACUGGGGGCUCAUGACGGUACCGUAAGAAUAAGCACCGGCUAACUACGUGCCAGCAGCCGCGGUAAUACGUAGGGUGCAAGCGUUAAUCGGAAUUACUGGGCGUAAAGCGUGCGCAGGCGGUUAUGUAAGACAGAUGUGAAAUCCCCGGGCUUAACCUGGGAACUGCAUUUGUGACUGCAUAGCUAGAGUACGGUAGAGGGGGAUGGAAUUCCGCGUGUAGCAGUGAAAUGCGUAGAUAUGCGGAGGAACACCGAUGGCGAAGGCAAUCCCCUGGACCUGUACUGACGCUCAUGCACGAAAGCGUGGGGAGCAAACAGG